GGAAUGGUAGCUCAGAGGUAGAGCAAUCGGCUGCAGUCCGAUAGGUCAUGGCAAUUCCCGUUCGUUCCU
Molecule: non-coding RNA, 69 nt
Organism: Xylaria digitata
Lineage: Eukaryota; Fungi; Ascomycota; Sordariomycetes; Xylariales; Xylariaceae
Source: the annotation of a GenBank genome assembly